UACGGAGGGUGCAAGCGUUAUUCGGAAUUACUGGGCGUAAAGCGCACGCAGGCGGCUGAGUCAGUCGAUUGUGAAAGCCCUGGGCUUAACCUGGGAAUUGCAGUCGAUACUACUCGGCUCGAGUAUGGGAGAGGGCAGUGGAAUUCCCGGUGUAGCGGUGAAAUGCGUAGAUAUCGGGAGGAAUACCGAUGGCGAAGGCAGGUCUCUGGACUGACACUGACGCUCAUGCACGAAAGCGUGGGGAGCAAACAGG
RNAcentral lists this ribosomal RNA (253 nucleotides) under uncultured bacterium. Its description in RNAcentral is "partial 16S ribosomal RNA". It matches the Rfam family "Bacterial small subunit ribosomal RNA", at positions 524 to 776 of the family's 1533-position model. The record is from RNAcentral.